This 403-nucleotide ribosomal RNA is filed under the name uncultured bacterium. RNAcentral describes it as "partial 16S ribosomal RNA". It matches the Rfam family "Bacterial small subunit ribosomal RNA", at positions 29 to 526 of the family's 1533-position model. The record is from RNAcentral.
AUUGAACGCUGGCGGCAGGCCUAACACAUGCAAGUCGAGCGAGCGGCGGACGGGUGAGUAAUGUAUGGGGACUGCCCGAUAGAGGGGGAUAACCACUGGAAACGGUGGCUAAUACAGCAUAAUAUCGGAUAACCAAUAUGGGGUUAGCUAGUAGGUGGGGUAAAGGCUCACCUAGGCGACGAUCUCUAGCUGGUCUGAGAGGAUGGUCAGCCAAACUGGGACUGAGACACGGCCCAGAAUCCUACGGAGGCGGCAGGGGGGAGUGGUGCACAAUCGGCGCAAGCCUGAUGCAGAGACGCCGCGUGGGGGAUGAAGGCUUGCGGGUUGUAAACCUCUUUCGCUAUCGAACGGGUAGGUGGAGAAGAAGCGCCGGCUAACUACGUGGCAGGAGCCGCGGUAGUUC